RNAcentral lists this ribosomal RNA (241 nucleotides) under uncultured bacterium. RNAcentral's name for it is "partial 16S ribosomal RNA". It matches the Rfam family "Bacterial small subunit ribosomal RNA", at positions 95 to 334 of the family's 1533-position model. The record is from RNAcentral.
CCGGCGCACGGGUGAGUAACACGUAUCCAACCUGCCGUCUACUCUUGGCCAGCCUUCUGAAAGGAAGAUUAAUCCAGGAUGGGAUCAUGAGUUCGCAUGUCCGCAUGAUUAAAGGUAUUUUCCGGUAGACGAUGGGGAUGCGUUCCAUUAGAUAGUAGGCGGGGUAACGGCCCACCUAGUCAACGAUGGAUAGGGGUUCUGAGAGGAAGGUCCCCCACAUUGGAACUGAGACACGGUCCAA